Molecule: non-coding RNA, 72 nt
Organism: Podarcis lilfordi (Lilford's wall lizard)
Lineage: Eukaryota; Metazoa; Chordata; Lepidosauria; Squamata; Lacertidae
Source: the annotation of a GenBank genome assembly
GCUGGGAUAGCUCCGUUGGUAGAGCGUGAGGCUCUCAUUCUCAGGGUUGUGGGUUGAGCCCUACGUUGGGCA